Nicotiana attenuata is the source of this 938-nucleotide RNA transcript. RefSeq lists it as uncharacterized. The transcript has 4 exons. Lineage: Eukaryota; Viridiplantae; Streptophyta; Magnoliopsida; Solanales; Solanaceae. The record is from RefSeq and is a predicted model, not a curated record.
UAUGUUUUCAACUAAAUAUAUUAAAAAUUACAAAAAAAAAUGGCUGAAAUGUCUUUCAUUUGCUUAUUUCUUAUCGUCCGAUCACCUAUUGCCAGAAGGUCUUUCUUAACUUUGUCUCUUUCAAAAAACGUUCCCCAUUCUCUCAAUUCCCACCAUUGUUAUUUUACUCUGUCAUGGAAGAUGAAAAGAGACUCAACAACAAGAAACAGGGUAUGUUAUACAAAAUCAUAAACGGAUAACACCUCUUCAGAUCCGAAUGUUUAUUAUCUAAAACUGAGGAAUUUCUACUUGAAAAAGAUUCACAAAUUUCCAGUAACUAUUAUACAUUUUAUCGUCUCCAACCAAAAUCCAAUUCGAGGACAUCACAUUUCCAACUCUCAACCAGCUUUCCCUGAACUAAGAAUAUUUGACUUCCACUUUCCACCUUAAACCAUCUGCUGUAUGGUUUAGCUAAGAGGAAUCGACACAGCACAGUCACAUACCAAGAGGGUGUUUGGAUUGGCUAAUAAUGAAUGAAGCUAGAAAUGUAGUGUAUAAAAAAGUUUUCCGUAAUUUAGUUUGAGAUGAAUCUAGACAUGGUGGAAUUAUCAGAGAGAGAUGAAGAUGCACCAUAAAGUCUUGAUGAUAGCCUAUGCACCUACAAUUGAUGGGUAUACUGGGAAUGCUCUAGCAGUUAAUGCCUUAGAGCUACUAUGCUCAUAGUCAGCCAUUGAGGUCACUUCGUUCAGUUCUACAUCCAUUGAAGUAGAUAUGUAAGAAAUCACAGUCAUAUACAAUAUUGAGAGUGUUAGCUCCAUCUUUGGAUACAAUUGGAAUAGUUCAACAGUUGUGUAAUAAUGCAAGUUGUGUAAUAAUGCAGGAAAGAUUUGAGUUUUCAGUUAACUGAAUAAUCCAUAAUGAGAAUGAAGCAUACACAUUAGUACUAACAUUACUGUUUA